GACGUAGGUGGCGAGCGUUAUCCGGAUUUACUGGGCGUAAAGCGCGUGCAGGUGGUUCGAUAAGUCGGGCGUGAAAUCUCCUGGCUCAACUGGGAGAGGUCGUCCGAUACUAUCGGACUUGAGGGCAGUAGAGGGAGGUGGAAUUCCGGGUGUAGUGGUGAAAUGCGUAGAUAUCCGGAGGAACACCGGUGGCGAAGGCGGCCUCCUGGACUGCCCCUGACACUCAGGCGCGAAAGCUAGGGGAGCGAACGGGAUUAGAA
Molecule: ribosomal RNA, 260 nt
Filed under: uncultured bacterium
Lineage: Bacteria
Description: partial 16S ribosomal RNA
Rfam family: Bacterial small subunit ribosomal RNA
Source: RNAcentral